This 399-nucleotide long non-coding RNA is filed under the name Ananas comosus (pineapple). RNAcentral describes it as "long non-coding RNA (ACOM_LNC031443)". Lineage: Eukaryota; Viridiplantae; Streptophyta; Magnoliopsida; Poales; Bromeliaceae. The record is from RNAcentral.
CUCUCUCAAAAUGUCCUCUCGGAUCUUUGAAUCUAAAAACACACACAGUCGGUCCCUAUACCGCAGUACUCCCGAACUGUCUACAGCAAAACCCUCAGUCUGUCCCCUCUCAAACCGCUCUCGAAUCCUCGACAAGUAUGGAUCUCCACUCUGUUUGUCUCGGAUCCUAUCCAACAGAGUGGGCUGCAAGACCAUAGACAUCAGUCUCGCAGUAGAUUCAGGGGACACUAUCUCAAGUCUCAGCCGCUGCAACUUCUCGAGUAACGACCUCUGCUGAGUAAUCAACAUGCUCAAGCUCUGCACUGCCUUUCUGCUCAACGCAUCUGCCACCACAUUCGCCUUGCCGGGAUAAUACUGAAUACUAAUAUCAUAGUCCUUCAGUAACUCCAACUACUAGCG